This 315-nucleotide ribosomal RNA is filed under the name uncultured eukaryote. RNAcentral's name for it is "partial 18S ribosomal RNA". It matches the Rfam family "Eukaryotic small subunit ribosomal RNA", at positions 1470 to 1796 of the family's 1831-position model. The record is from RNAcentral.
CCCUUAGACGUUCUGGGCCGCACGCGCGCUACACUGACCAGUGCAACAAGCAUCCGUCCUUGGCCGACAGGCUCGGGCAAUCUUUGAACGCUGGUCGUGAUGGGGAUAGACUUUUGCAAUUUUUGGUCUUCAACGAGGAAUUCCUAGUAAACGCAAGUCGUCAACUUGCAUUGAUUACGUCCCUGCCCUUUGUACACACCGCCCGUCGCACCUACCGAUUGAAUGGUCCGGUGAAGCCUCCGGAUUGGCGCGCACCUCGGUGCCGCCGAGAAGUUGGCUAAACCUUACCAUUUAGAGGAAGGUGAAGUCGUANCA